This is an unclassified non-coding RNA of Saimiri boliviensis boliviensis (Bolivian squirrel monkey), 296 nucleotides long. It matches the Rfam family "Metazoan signal recognition particle RNA". Rfam says of the family: The signal recognition particle (SRP) is a universally conserved ribonucleoprotein. It is involved in the co-translational targeting of proteins to membranes. Lineage: Eukaryota; Metazoa; Chordata; Mammalia; Primates; Cebidae. The record is from Ensembl.
GCGGGGUAUGAUGGUGUGCACCUGUAGCCCCAGCUACCCAGAGGCUGAAGCCAGAGGAUGGCUUGAGCCCAGGAGUUCCGGGCCAUCUGUGCUAUGCUGAUCAGGUAUCUGUGCUAAAUUUGACAUCAAUGUGGUGACCUCUUGGAAGUGAGGGACCUCUAGGUUACCUAAGAAGGGGUGAAUUGGCCCAAGCUGGAAAAGAGCAGGUCAGAACUCCUGUGCUGAUCAGGAGUGGGAUCGUGCCUGGGAAUAGCCACUGCCCUCCAGCCUGGGUAACAUAGUGAGACCCCAUCUCU